UACAUGCAAGUCGAGCGAGAAGUUACUCAAUGAAUCUUCGGAAGAAUUAAGUAAUGGAAAGCGGCGGACGGGUGAGUAACGCGUGGGCAACCUGCCUUUCACAGAGGGAUAGCCAAAGGAAACUUUGAUUAAAACCUCAUAAAGCCGGAAUAGUGCAUAAUAUACCGGCCAAAGAUUUAUCGGUGAAAGAUGGGCCCGCGUCUGAUUAGCUAGUUGGUGGGGUAACGGCUCACCAAGGCAACGAUCAGUAGCCGACCUGAGAGGGUGAUCGGCCACAUUGGAACUGAGACACGGUCCAAACUCCUACGGGAGGCAGCAGUGGGGAAUAUUGCACAAUGGGCGCAAGCCUGAUGCAGCAACGCCGCGUGAACGAAGAAGGCCUUCGGGUCGUAAAGUUCUGUCCAUAGGGAAGAAACAAAUGACGGUACCUAUGGAGGAAGCCCCGGCUAAAUACGUGCCAGCAGCCGCGGUAAUACGUAUGGGGCAAGCGUUAUCCGGAAUUAUUGGGCGUAAAGAGUGCGUAGGUGGUGGCUUAAGCGCAGGGUUUAAGGCAAUGGCUUAACUAUUGUUCGCCUUGCGAACUGGGUCACUUGAGUACAGGAGAGGAAAGCGGAAUUCCUAGUGUAGCGGUGAAAUGCAUAGAUAUUAGGAGGAACACCGGUGGCGAAGGCGGCUUUCUGGACUGCAACUGACACUGAGGCACGAAAGCGUGGGUAGCAAACAGGAUUAGAUACCCUGGUAGUCCACGCCGUAAACGAUGAGCACUAGGUGUCGGCCACUAAA
This 783-nucleotide ribosomal RNA is filed under the name uncultured bacterium. RNAcentral's name for it is "bacterial SSU rRNA". It matches the Rfam family "Bacterial small subunit ribosomal RNA", at positions 52 to 834 of the family's 1533-position model. The record is from RNAcentral.